This 492-nucleotide ribosomal RNA is filed under the name uncultured bacterium. RNAcentral's name for it is "partial 16S ribosomal RNA". It matches the Rfam family "Bacterial small subunit ribosomal RNA", at positions 29 to 507 of the family's 1533-position model. The record is from RNAcentral.
AGUGAACGCUGGCGGUAGGCCUAACACAUGCAAGUCGAACGGCAGCACAGUAAGAGCUUGCUCUUACGGGUGGCGAGUGGCGGACGGGUGAGGAAUACAUCGGAAUCUACUUUUUCGUGGGGGAUAACGUAGGGAAACUUACGCUAAUACCGCAUACGACCUACGGGUGAAAGCAGGGGAUCUUCGGACCUUGCGCGAUUGAAUGAGCCGAUGUCGGAUUAGCUAGUUGGCGGGGUAGAGGCCCACCAAGGCGACGAUCCGUAGCUGGUCUGAGAGGAUGAUCAGCCACACUGGAACUGAGACACGGUCCAGACUCCUACGGGAGGCAGCAGUGGGGAAUAUUGGACAAUGGGCGCAAGCCUGAUCCAGCCAUACCGCGUGGGUGAAGAAGGCCUUCGGGCUGUAAAGCCCUUUUGUUGGGAAAGAAAAGCAGCAGGUUAAUACCCCGCUGUUCUGACGGUACCCAAAGAAUAAGCACCGGCUAACUUCGUG